RNAcentral lists this ribosomal RNA (449 nucleotides) under Zygiella poriensis. RNAcentral describes it as "partial 16S ribosomal RNA". It matches the Rfam family "Bacterial large subunit ribosomal RNA", at positions 1827 to 2599 of the family's 2925-position model. Lineage: Eukaryota; Metazoa; Arthropoda; Arachnida; Araneae; Araneidae. The record is from RNAcentral.
CAUUUCUUAUUGAACUUAAUAAUAAGUAAAACCUGCUCAAUGUAAAAUAAAUAGCCGCAGAAUUUUUACUGUGCUAAGGUAGCAUAAUCACUAGCCUUCUAAUUAAGGGCUUGUAUGAAAGGUUAAACAUUUAAUAACUUUUUUUACUUUAAUUCUUAAAUUAUAUUAAAUAUAAAAAUAUAUUUAUUUCCUAAUUAGACGACAAGACCCUUUUGAACUUUACUUAAGUUUAGCUGGGGAAGCUAUUUAAUAAAUAUUUUAAUUCUUUUACUUAAAUUCAUUGAACCUAUAGUAAUUGGGAAAAGGAACAAGUUACCAAAGGGAUAACAGCGUAAUUUCUUUCUAAAGCUCUUAUCCAAAAAGAAGAUUGCGACCUCGAUGUUGAAUUAAUAUCCCUUAUAUAAUGCAAUAGUUUAUUAAGGAGGUCUGUUCGACCUUUAAUUUAUUAC